Molecule: ribosomal RNA, 119 nt
Filed under: Gossypium arboreum
Lineage: Eukaryota; Viridiplantae; Streptophyta; Magnoliopsida; Malvales; Malvaceae
Source: RNAcentral
GGGUGCGAUCAUACCAGCACUAAUGCACCGGAUCCCAUCAGAAUUUUGCAGUUAAGCGUGCUUGGGCGAGACUAGUACUAGGAUGGGUGACCUCCUGGGAAGUCCUCGUGUUGCACCCU